RNAcentral lists this transfer-messenger RNA (397 nucleotides) under Bifidobacterium tsurumiense. It matches the Rfam family "transfer-messenger RNA". From Rfam's summary of the family: Bacterial tmRNA, also known as 10Sa RNA or SsrA, is named for its dual tRNA and mRNA-like properties. Its role is to liberate the mRNA from a stalled ribosome. To accomplish this part of the tmRNA is used as a reading frame that ends in a translation stop signal. Lineage: Bacteria; Bacillati; Actinomycetota; Actinomycetes; Bifidobacteriales; Bifidobacteriaceae. The record is from Rfam by way of RNAcentral.
GGGGCUGAUCGGUUUCGACGGUGAUCUGUUCGUCACAGGGAAGCGUGCCGAGAACGCGGAGUCCGCUCGUGGAUGUCCUCCGCAAAAGAAUAAGUGCUAAAUCUAACCGCACUGAGUUCGCUCUCGCUGCCUGAGCUUCGCGCCAGGAUUAACCAGUGAGCAGCCGCUCCGUUCACUCUCCCUCGUCUUUGGGGAGAUGCUGAGCGUCGUUAAGAAGACUUGCUUGGAUCAUUGGACCGCAGGGUGAUUCAGGGACUUUAACUGUAGAUAUGCUCGCCAUCGGUCGUCUGCGGCACAGAUGGGGGCAGAAAAACCGCCGUACGGCCAGCAGACUACGCACGUAGAAGACUGAGAGUACGGUCACCGGACCGGGGUUCAAUUCCCCGCAGCUCCACCA